GACGAACGCUGGCGGCAGGCCUAACACAUGCAAGUCGAGCGCACUCUUCGGAGUGAGCGGCGGACGGGUUAGUAACGCGUGGGAACAUACCCUUUUCUACGGAAUAGCCUCGGGAAACUGAGAGUAAUACCGUAUACGCCCUUUGGGGGAAAGAUUUAUCGGAGAAGGAUUGGCCCGCGUUUGAUUAGAUAGUUGGUGGGGUAAUGGCCUACCAAGUCUACGAUCAAUAGCUGGUUUGAGAGGAUGAUCAGCAACACUGGGACUGAGACACGGCCCAG
Molecule: ribosomal RNA, 278 nt
Filed under: uncultured Loktanella sp.
Lineage: Bacteria; Pseudomonadati; Pseudomonadota; Alphaproteobacteria; Rhodobacterales; Roseobacteraceae
Description: partial 16S ribosomal RNA
Rfam family: Bacterial small subunit ribosomal RNA
Source: RNAcentral